Molecule: ribosomal RNA, 427 nt
Filed under: uncultured bacterium
Lineage: Bacteria
Description: bacterial SSU rRNA
Rfam family: Bacterial small subunit ribosomal RNA
Source: RNAcentral
GCAGGGAAUCUUGCGCAAUGGGCGAAAGCCUGACGCAGCAACGCCGCGUGGGUGAUGAAGGCCUUCGGGUCGUAAAGCCCUUUUCUGUGGGACGAAGAUCUGACGGUACCGCAGGAAGAAGCCACGGCUAACUACGUGCCAGCAGCCGCGGUAAUACGUAGGUGGCAAGCGUUGUCCGGAUUUAUUGGGCGUAAAGCGCGCGCAGGCGGCGCAGCAAGUCCAUGGUGAAAGCGCCCGGCUCAACUGGGCGAGUGCCGUGGGGACUGCUGAGCUGGAGGGAAGCAGAGGCGAGUGGAAUUCCGGGUGUAGUGGUGAAAUGCGUAGAGAUCCGGAGGAACACCAGUGGCGAAGGCGGCUCGCUGGGCUUUACCUGACGCUGAGGCGCGAAAGCGUGGGGAGCGAACCGGAUUAGAUACCCGUGUAGUCC